Scomber scombrus (Atlantic mackerel) is the source of this 444-nucleotide non-coding RNA. NCBI's taxonomy places the organism in Eukaryota, Metazoa, Chordata, Actinopteri, Scombriformes, Scombridae. The record is from the annotation of a RefSeq genome assembly.
AUGACAGUUUUACAAAGCGUCUUCCUCUUGGCUCUCAUUUCAGCUGCUCAGGGCCAGUCCCUCACCUCCUCAGAGCCGGUGGUCAACAGAGCUGGACAAUCAGUCACUCUGUCCUGUAAAGUUGAAGGACUUUCUCUUGCUUGGCUGCACUGGAUUCGUCAGAAAUCAGGGAAAGUACUGGAGUGGAUUGGACGCAUUGAUAGUGGAACUGGCACAAUAUUUUCCCAAAGUCUUCAAAGCCAGUUUCUCAUCACUAAAGACACUUCCCAAAAUGUUGUGUACUUAGAGGUGAAGAGUCUGAAAGCAGAAGACUCUGCUGUUUAUUACUGUGCACGAGAGCCACAGUGCCACAGGAGACUGCAAAGCUGUACAAAAACUGAUCUCUUAAAAAGAAACUUUGAAGCAUGUCAGGAAACAAAUCUCCCACUGAAUGAUGACCAAUAA